GCGUCAGAUGUUUAUAAGAGACAGGUGAAUCAUCGAAUCUUUGAACGCAACUUGCACUCUGUUUCGGCAGAGUAUACCUGUUUGAGAAUCUAUAGUAUUCUUCUAAUCUUUUUUGAUUAGAGACUUGAAUCAUGUAACUUACUGAUUUUAAUUUUAUCUAUAGUAGUUUGUUAGAAAACUGCAAGUGUAUGAAGGGCUUGCCCACUUCCUUGUUGUAUCUAAUGAGUUUUCUCAAUUUGAACCUUGGUCUCAAAUCAGGUAGGAAGACCCGCUGAACUUAAGCAUAUCAAUAAGCGGAGG
RNAcentral lists this unclassified non-coding RNA (300 nucleotides) under uncultured fungus. Its description in RNAcentral is "sequence contains 5.8S rRNA gene, ITS2". The stretch from base 245 to 300 matches the Rfam family "Eukaryotic large subunit ribosomal RNA", at positions 1 to 56 of the family's 3401-position model. The record is from RNAcentral. Lineage: Eukaryota; Fungi.